This 461-nucleotide ribosomal RNA is filed under the name uncultured bacterium. RNAcentral describes it as "partial 16S ribosomal RNA". It matches the Rfam family "Bacterial small subunit ribosomal RNA", at positions 338 to 795 of the family's 1533-position model. The record is from RNAcentral.
CCUACGGGUGGCAGCAGUGAGGAAUAUUGGUCAAUGGGCUUACGCCUGAACCAGCCAAGUCGCGUGAGGGAAGACUGCCCUAUGGGUUGUAAACCUCUUUUGUCAGGGAGCAACGCCGGCUACGUGUAGCCGGACUGAGAGUACCUGAAGAAAAAGCAUCGGCUAACUCCGUGCCAGCAGCAGCGGUAAUACGGAGGAUUCAAGCGUUAUCCGGAUUUAUUGGGUUUAAAGGGUGCGUAGGCGGUCGGAUAAGUUAGAGGUGAAAUCCCGAGGUUCAACGUCGGAAUUGCCUCUGAUACUGUUCGGCUAGAGAGUAGUUGCGGUAGGCGGAAUGUAUGGUGUAGCGGUGAAAUGCGUAGAUAUAAGGAAGAACACCAGUGGCGAAGGCGGAUGACUGGACGGCAACUGACGGUGAGGCGCGAAAGCGUGGGGAGCAAACAGGAUUAGAUACCCGGGUAGUC